UACAGAGGUCCCGAGCGUUGUUCGGAUUCACUGGGCGUAAGGGGUGCGUAGGCGGUCGGGUAAGUCUGACGUGAAAUCUUCAAGCUCAACUUGGAAACUGCGUCGGAUACUAUUCGGCUAGAGGAAUGGAGGGGAGACUGGAAUACUUGGUGUAGCAGUGAAAUGCGUAGAUAUCAAGUGGAACACCAGUGGCGAAGGCGAGUCUCUGGACAUUUCCUGACGCUGAGGCACGAAAGCCAGGGGAGCAAACAGG
Molecule: ribosomal RNA, 253 nt
Filed under: uncultured bacterium
Lineage: Bacteria
Description: partial 16S ribosomal RNA
Rfam family: Bacterial small subunit ribosomal RNA
Source: RNAcentral